AAAGUCCCUAUUAUGAGACGAUGUCCCCAUUUAUGAUACACUACAUAAAAAUACUAUUUUAUAAAAACAAACACACCGCUAGCAUACCAAAAAUAUAAAAAAUAUUUCAAUUCACAUAUUUCAAAAGCAAUUUUCGACUUUUGCUCUUAAUUAAUUUCACACUGUUUUUAAAAAAUAUUUAUUAAAGUGCGAGGUUUGUUAUCUGUGCUCAAAGCCACGACCGAGAAUAGUAAAACGGCAACGGCUACCUAGUUUCUUAUAUUAGUUUAAUUUCAUUGUCUCUUCUUCUUUUAUGUUAAAUUGUAUAUCAAUUGAAAGCUGAUGAGUCAUAGACUUUAUUUCUAUACAUAUUUAUGCGUUUUUUUUAUUACAAUAUUUUAAAUCUGAGUGUCUCACAAUACCUACACUUAUAAACGUGAAUGCCCCGGUUUAUGAGACAUUUUACUAGGUAUACCAUGUAACACGGACAUGUGUAUUUCGGCUUGUCCCGAUUAAUUGAGACGGUGUACAUUUAUAAGAUUUUAUAUUGUUAAUAUGUUAUAUUAAUUAUAAAAAUAGUGCAAUUAUAUGUCAUAAAAUAUUGGCUGUUAUUAAAACCUCAAAUAUUUUUCUAAAAGCUAAGUAAAAAGUAAUUUAUAAUAAAAAGCUGAGAUAAUGAGGCAUAAACAAAAUCCUAAAGAGACAAAAACUCAAUCAUCAAAUUCAACCAAUAAGUGUUGUGUUCCAAUGUGAAUAAUAAACUGAAGAAAAAAAAGUUAAAAGGCUUAAGUAAUUAUGAUUCGUCAAAUAUAGAAAAAGCUUUAAAAGCAAUAGAAGACACAGAGAUGUCCUUGAGAAAAGCAGCUGCUGUUCAUGGAGUACCGAUUGCUACCUUUGUUAGAUGAAAAAGUAUUAGUCCUGAGAAGGCAAAAAUUAGAACUGAGCCAGCGACAGUAUUAUCUUUAAAAGAAGAGAAUGUUAUUGUUCAGUUGUUAUUCUACAGAGCAGCAAUAGGGUCACCUGUGACGAAAACUGACUUAUUAAAGAUGACAAUCAUUCUAAUGUGAUAAACUGUGAAUAAAAUAAUUUAACUAAUGAUGGACAACUUUUUACGGUUAUAUAUGAAUCUAGUCAAAGCUCAAAAAUAUUCAUCCUACAAAUCCUAUAAACAACAAAAUUUAUCAAUUAGAAUUUAUGAAAGAAAAUUUGGAUCCUACGCCUGCAAUGAUUGACGAACAUCGUUUUAUUCAUAAGUUUUCAUCAAUAACUGUUGAUAACGAUAAAUCUCCCGAAAAACCUCUGAAAGAAAUAUUCACUUUGCCGUUGGAUUAUUUACUGAAGAAAAAAAUAAUAAAAAUUGAAAAAACAGGCAAGUCAAAGUUACCAUCUGUGGGGAUCUCUGAUGAAUGGUACAAACAAUUAAAAAAAGAAAAGUUGAAAAACAUGAAA
Molecule: long non-coding RNA, 1428 nt
Organism: Cotesia glomerata
Lineage: Eukaryota; Metazoa; Arthropoda; Insecta; Hymenoptera; Braconidae
Exons: 6
Source: RefSeq, a predicted model, not a curated record